GACGAACGCUGGCGGCGUGCUUAACACAUGCAAGUCGAACGGAAAGGCCCAGCUUGCUGGGUGCUCGAGUGGCGAACGGGUGAGUAACACGUGGGUGAUCUGCCCCUAACUUCGGGAUAAGCUUGGGAAACUGGGUCUAAUACCGGAUAGGACAAUCGUUUAGUGUCGGUUGUGGAAAGUUUUUUCGGUUAGGGAUGAGCCCGCGGCCUAUCAGCUUGUUGGUGGGGUAAUGGCCUACCAAGCCGUCGACGGGUAGCCGGCCUGAGAGGGUGGACGGCGACAUUGGGACUGAGAUACGGCCCAGACGCCUACGGGAGGCAGCAGUGGGGAAUAUUACACAAUGGGCGCAAGCCUGAUGCAGCGACGCCGCGUGGGGGAUGACGGCCUUCGGGUUGUAAACCUCUUUCGACAGGGACGAAGCUUUGGUGACGGUACCUGAAUAAGAAGCACCGGCUAACUACGUG
This 464-nucleotide ribosomal RNA is filed under the name uncultured bacterium. RNAcentral's name for it is "partial 16S ribosomal RNA". It matches the Rfam family "Bacterial small subunit ribosomal RNA", at positions 28 to 507 of the family's 1533-position model. The record is from RNAcentral.